AUUGAACGCUGGCGGCAUGCCUUACACAUGCAAGUCGAACGGCAGCAUGGGUGCUUGCACCUGAUGGCGAGUGGCGAACGGGUGAGUAAUGCAUCGGAACGUACCUUUCAGUGGGGGAUAACGUAGCGAAAGUUACGCUAAUACCGCAUAUUCUGUGAGCAGGAAAGCAGGGGCUCUUGGGACCUUGCGCUGAUGGAGCGGCCGAUGUCAGAUUAGCUAGUUGGUGGGGUAAAGGCCGACCAAGGCGACGAUCUGUAGCGGGUCUGAGAGGAUGAUCCGCCACACUGGGACUGAGACACGGCCCAGACUCCUACGGGAGGCAGCAGUGGGGAAUUUUGGACAAUGGGGGCAACCCUGAUCCAGCCAUGCCGCGUGAGUGAAGAAGGCCUUCGGGUUGUAAAGCUCUUUCGGACGGGAAGAAAUCGUGGUGGCUAAUAUCUGCCAUGGAUGACGGUACCGUAAUAAGAAGCACCGGCUAACUACGUGCCAGCAGCCGCCGUAA
Molecule: ribosomal RNA, 502 nt
Filed under: uncultured bacterium
Lineage: Bacteria
Description: partial 16S ribosomal RNA
Rfam family: Bacterial small subunit ribosomal RNA
Source: RNAcentral